GUGUUGUAUGAAAGGAGAGAAGGUUAGCACUCCCCUUGACAAAGAUGGAAGAGGCCCUUGGGCCUGACAACACGCAUACGGUUAAGGCAUUGCCACCUACUUUGUGGCAUCUAACCAUGGUUUUUA
Molecule: small nuclear RNA, 126 nt
Organism: Dipodomys ordii (Ord's kangaroo rat)
Lineage: Eukaryota; Metazoa; Chordata; Mammalia; Rodentia; Heteromyidae
Source: Ensembl